ACUCUUGCCACUGGGACCUAAGCCCCACCCCUAUCCCCGUCCCUCGGACAUAGGCUCCGCCCCCAGCACCACCCUCUAUGCUCUGUUGGACCCCACUCCAGAGACUAACCUCAUCUCCCGGGGAGGACACCGACUGAGACCACAAACCCUGGCUCCAGUGUCAUGGAAUCAGUCACCUUUGAGGAUGUGGCCGUGGAGUUCAUCCAGGAGUGGGCAUUGCUGGACAGUGCACGGAGGAGCCUGUGCAGAUACAGGAUGCUGGACCAGUGCAGGACCCUGGCCUCCAGGGGAACUCCACCAUGCAAACCCAGUUGCGUCUCCCAGCUGGGGCCAAGAGCAGAGCCACGGGCAACAGAACAAGGGAUUCUCCAUGCCACAGGUGUAGCCUGGGAAUCUCAACUUAAACCCAAAGAGUUGCCUUCUAUGCAGGAUCUUUUGGAAGAAGCAUCCUCCAGGGACAUGCAAAUGGGGCCGGGGCUGUUCCUGAGGAUGCAGCUGGUGCCCUCCAUAGAAGAGAGGGAGACACCAUUGACUCGAGAGGACUGGCCAGCUCUCCAGGAGCCACCUUGGUCUCCAGGAUGCAUGCUGCCCCUCCUGUCCCUGCUGCUGCCACCCUGCCCAGAGCCACCGUUAGUUCUCCUGGACUCCAGUUCUGCUCCUGACAGGCACCUGGGCUCCACCCUGGACACGGAGGCCAGAGGGAUCCCUUAGAAGUGUGACUCAGGUCAGACAUGUUUCCUGAGCGAGCAGCUGCCAGCAGAGAAGAGAUCACAUCCUACUCCAAGGAGAGGUCUUCCUCCCAGAAAAACUCACUGACUGCCUGCUCCUCAUUCACGCGGCUCCACCUCCAAACACCAUCUUCCCUCUAUCCCUCAACCUCCUGGCCAUCCACUCCCCACUUUUUUCCCAGCUUUUUCCUGACUUCUGGAGCCUCCUUGGAGGGUGCCACCUUCCCCAGCCCCUGCCUGGGCGCCCUCUCUCCAGGCCAUUUUGGAUCACAGUGAUUAUUAGCUUUGUAUUUAAGGAUUGGGUAAAUCCUGACAAGGUAAAUGGGUCUAUCUCUUCUUUUAUUAAUAUGUUCCCCAAAGCAGGAUUAAACAUGCACAUUCAUUUGGGGUGAGCAGGUGUGAGUGGACCCCCUCAGCUUCUUGACUCUAAUCUAUGACCCCUGUCACUCUGUCCAGGGACUGAAGGCUGCUGUGCAGAUUCAGAGGGUGGUGAUACCAGUGCCUACACUGAGCCACUGCAACCCAUGGGUGGCCAGGGAUUCUGGUGAGUGAGUGCUGCAUGGAACACGUGGGCAGAGGGCCCUGCUGUCCUUGUGUUCUGUCCAGGAACUUGUAUCCUAUCCUGCCUGCAUUUCCUCUGACUGCAAGCAGUGCCGUGACACCAUAAAGAGGAUACAGAAGGCCUCUCUCAUUAUUUGUGUGUUUAAGGGGGAGGGCACUUCCAGUGACAGAUCUUUAAGAAAGAGAGGGCUCACUCAACCACAGCAAAGGCCAGACCUCUCUUUGGGCAACAUGAAAUUCUUGACUACACGAUAAUGUCGAUUUUGAAAAUUAUGAUUGAAUUUACUAGAAAUGGCCUGUGUUUUAACUGUGUUUUUAUAAAUGAGGUUCAGGCCGGUUGCAGUGGCUCAUGCCUUUAAUCCCAGUGCUUUGCAAGGCCUAGGCAGGAGGAUUGCUUGAGGCCAGGAGUUCGAGACCAGCUUGGGUAACAUCAGGUGAGACCCUUAUUUCUAAAAAAAAAAAAAAAAAAAAAAAAAAAAAA
Molecule: small RNA, 1770 nt
Filed under: Pongo abelii (Sumatran orangutan)
Lineage: Eukaryota; Metazoa; Chordata; Mammalia; Primates; Hominidae
Description: retained intron
Source: RNAcentral